This 909-nucleotide long non-coding RNA is filed under the name Dendronephthya gigantea. RNAcentral describes it as "uncharacterized LOC114519625, transcript variant X1". Lineage: Eukaryota; Metazoa; Cnidaria; Anthozoa; Malacalcyonacea; Nephtheidae. The record is from RNAcentral.
GGUGGUGAAAAUAUGGGGUCAGCUACUUUGUUUAUGUUUACGUUUUGUUUGUUUAUUUCUGUUGUUUGUUUCGGCGGUGUGUUGAUUUCAUUAUUGACGUCAGAUAAUUUCCCAGCAUGCUGUUUGGAAUACGGCACCGCAUGUUAUUUUGGUCUGUUGAUUCCAACAACACUACCAGUGUUUGUGGUCUUCAUGUACUGCAACUGGCUUGGACACAAGUUUUUUAUCCAUAACUAAAGCCAAGCUGUGCCCAUUUUUCAUCGAAAGAGCCACGCCCUUUUAUAUAUCAGCAGACGUUAUCUUCAGCGAAAACCCCGCUGUCUGCUAAACUCGGGUCUGUACGAGAUGCAUUCUCCUGCAAGGAUUACCAGCGACAUGUAAAUGUACUAAAAGUUGUUUUAAUACUUGGAAACUCCUAUCGAAAGCACCGCAUUGGCGCAUUUGUUAAAAAUUCAGUUCAAUUCAAGCUAAAAAUCAAUUCACGGGUGGCUCAAUUAUAUGAUGUUAUCUGACGUGGUAUAAUGGUUCUUCGUUAAUUUGACCGUUCUGCUAGAAAUCUGAGAAAUAUUUCGUUAUGAAAGAGUACUAAUAACAGCGAAAAAGACGAGCAAUAAAGACCAACCUUACAGCGUUUUGGGGACACCACAAACACGUUAUUUUACUUAACAGUUGAAGAGCCGAGGGCAAUAUAUCCAUUAUUAUCCAAGACAGAUUUUGACUUUUUGAAACAACGCAAAAUUUGUUAAAACUAAGUAGAAUUAUUUAUAUGAUAUGCGCAGUACAAAUAUUAUAGAUAUCUGUCUCUUUAGAAGAUGCAUAUCAGCUGUAAUUAUAGUAAAUUUUAAAUGAGUUAUAUUAUGGUUGGAAAUAUUGUAAAUGAAUUUUGCUCCAAGGUGAAUUUCAUUGUUU